Molecule: long non-coding RNA, 1074 nt
Organism: Capsicum annuum
Lineage: Eukaryota; Viridiplantae; Streptophyta; Magnoliopsida; Solanales; Solanaceae
Exons: 4
Source: RefSeq, a predicted model, not a curated record
AAGGAAAGGUUAUAUUUUAAGAAAAACUUCGGGGAAAACGAUUUUCACCCAUUAUAAAUUCAAUCCAAAUAAGGCAAAUAACCAAAAAGAAAAAAAAAAAAAAGAAAAAAAAAAGAUUUGACCUCUCAUUAUUAUAAGGAACCACCUAAAGUUUAAGUAAUAAUUACAACAUAAAUUAACCCAAUCCAAAUCACUCUCCCCAACGUUCCAAUUUUCAAAUGGAUUUCUUUUUUUGUUGGGGGUAUAAAUCCAAAUCGUUAUCUAUUGUUCCAUAUUCAACGUUGAUACUCAUCAAUGUCCGCAGAGGGUUGUGAGAGAUGAACAAAUCAAAUCAAAUCACACUCGGGAAAACCGCGAUUACCAGCAACCAUGCUUUCAAACUGGAGUUUGUCCCUGAACGGAUAGCUAUAGUAGGAAGUGGUUAUCGUGAACUUGAAUUCAGUGAUGUGUAUACUGCAAUUGGUAGUGAGUAUGUCAAGCACUCUUGCUUUCAAAAUGGCUAAAUCUGGAUGGAAUGUCGUUGUGAGCAAUCAUCGGGACUGUCAAUAACUUGUGAGAUGGCAUUGUCGAAACCAACCAAGGGGCACUAAUUGGAAAGCACUGGCAUUGCCGAAACCAAUUCAUCUAUGUCUAUGUUGGUAAGCAUUAAUCACUGAUGUAUCAAUAUCACCUAUCUUUUCAAAUGUAGAUGUGAGUACCUUUGUAAUAUUCUCCAACGGUGCUUUUAUUUUAUUUUCCUCUACAAAAUCCUGAACCUCAGGCCUGCAUUGUAUCUUAGCUCUGUAUUCGGAUUUAUCAAUUAAAUCGAAGUAAGAAACAGAAGGAGUUGUAAAAGAGAGAGCUAUCUAUGUAAACCUUUUGCUAAAUUUUACUACUCUAAAAUGGUGUGGAGUAUAGUUACUACCCUGGCGUUCGAUACUUGUUGGCUAAAAGGCUGAUGAGGGGCUUCAUUUUUCUUUUUGCCCUAACUUUGUAGGUUAAUUAAAAAAUCUGGAUGUACCAAUAAUUAAAUCAAUAAUCAUAGUUUGUUUGAUUUCAACUUACUUAUACUCAAUAUUAUAGAGCAUUAUGACU